GAUGAAGAACGUAGCGAAAUGCGAUACUUGGUGUGAAUUGCAGAAUCCCGUGAACCAUCGAGUCUUUGAACGCAAGUUGCGCCCGAAACCAUUAGGCCGAGGGCACGCCUGCCUGGGCGUCACACGUCGUUGCCCCCCCAUCUACUCCUUCGGGAUUGCGGGGGGCGGAUGAUGGCCUCCCGUGCGCCUCGUCGCGCGGUUGGCAUAAAUGCCAAGUCCUCGGCGACGCACGCCACGACAAUCGGUGGUUGCGAAACCUCGGUUGCCCGUCGUGUGCGGUCGUCGCGCAUCGAGGGCUCGAAAAAAUUGCCGGGCUCCGGCUCGGCUUUCAACGCGACCCCAGGUCAGGCGGGGUUACCCGCUGAAUUUAAGCAUAUCAAUAAGCGGAGGA
Molecule: unclassified non-coding RNA, 391 nt
Filed under: soil metagenome
Description: partial contains 5.8S ribosomal RNA, internal transcribed spacer 2, and large subunit ribosomal RNA
Rfam family: 5.8S ribosomal RNA (bases 1-122)
Source: RNAcentral